UACAGAGGGUGCGAGCGUUAAUCGGAAUUACUGGGCGUAAAGCGCACGUAGUCGGCUUUGCAAGUCGGGUGUGAAAUCCCCGGGCUCAACCUGGGAACUGCAUCCGAGACUGCAUUGCUAGAGUAUGGGAGAGGGAAGCGGAAUUUCUGGUGUAGCAGUGAAAUGCGUAGAUAUCAGAAGGAACAUCAGUGGCGAAGGCGGCUUCCUGGACCGGUUCUGACGCUGAGGCGCGAAAGCGUGGGGAGCAAACGGG
This 253-nucleotide ribosomal RNA is filed under the name uncultured bacterium. RNAcentral describes it as "partial 16S ribosomal RNA". It matches the Rfam family "Bacterial small subunit ribosomal RNA", at positions 524 to 776 of the family's 1533-position model. The record is from RNAcentral.